GGAAGUAAAAGUCGUAACAAGGUUUUGCUAAGCAACAGUCCUUCUGUAGCAGAGCUUAACGGAGACCUUGCACCCGAGAGGGGGGAGGCGACUAUAAACAAGUCCCAGUGCAAGUCAGCGCCGCUGGCGACACAAUCGAAUUGCGGGGACGCUUUAAAGCUCAGUGGUACCAACCCUCCGGAUGCCGGAGGGGGCGGGCAAUGCCCGAGGUCAGAACCCACCGAGAUGUACAAUAAGCAAUCCGCAGCGGCCCGUUUGGACCGUCCACAGACUAAGUGGUUGUGGGGAGCCCCAGCUCCUUAAGAUAUAGUCGGGCCCGGUGAGCAGUCACCGGGGGUUCUGCGUCCGUAGGUGAACCUGCGGAAGGAUCAUUACAAGUGAGGCUACCGAACGUUGGAAACAGCGGUUAGGAGCUUACACCCACCCGUGUUUACAUACUAUUGUUGCUUUGGCGGGCCGUGGCCUCCACUGCGGGCUCUGCUCGUGU
This 487-nucleotide unclassified non-coding RNA is filed under the name Phialocephala fortinii. RNAcentral describes it as "partial contains 18S rRNA, ITS1, 5.8S rRNA, ITS2 and 28S rRNA". The stretch from base 15 to 334 matches the Rfam family "Group I catalytic intron". Rfam says of the family: Group I catalytic introns are large self-splicing ribozymes. They catalyse their own excision from mRNA, tRNA and rRNA precursors in a wide range of organisms. The core secondary structure consists of 9 paired regions (P1-P9). Lineage: Eukaryota; Fungi; Ascomycota; Leotiomycetes; Helotiales; Mollisiaceae. The record is from RNAcentral.